RNAcentral lists this ribosomal RNA (253 nucleotides) under uncultured bacterium. RNAcentral's name for it is "partial 16S ribosomal RNA". It matches the Rfam family "Bacterial small subunit ribosomal RNA", at positions 524 to 776 of the family's 1533-position model. The record is from RNAcentral.
UACGUAGGGUGCGAGCGUUGUUCGGAAUUACUGGGUGUAAAGGGUCCGCAGGCGGGCGAGCAAGUCGGUGGUGAAAGUUCAUGGCUCAACUGUGAAAUUGCCUUCGAUACUGCUCGUCUUGAGUCCGAGAGAGGAUGAUGGAAUUCAUGGUGUAGCAGUGAAAUGCGUAGAGAUCAUGAAGAACACCAGUUGCGAAGGCGGUCAUCUGGCUCGGUACUGACGCUCAGGGACGAAAGCGUGGGUAGCAAACAGG